Molecule: transfer RNA, 76 nt
Filed under: Clostridiales bacterium
Lineage: Bacteria; Bacillati; Bacillota; Clostridia; Eubacteriales
Also listed under: 1 other name
Description: tRNA-Ala
Rfam family: tRNA
About the family: Transfer RNA (tRNA) molecules are approximately 80 nucleotides in length. Their secondary structure includes four short double-helical elements and three loops (D, anti-codon, and T loops). Further hydrogen bonds mediate the characteristic L-shaped molecular structure. tRNAs have two regions of fundamental functional importance: the anti-codon, which is responsible for specific mRNA codon recognition, and the 3' end, to which the tRNAs corresponding amino acid is attached (by aminoacyl-tRNA synthetases). tRNAs cope with the degeneracy of the genetic code in two manners: having more than one tRNA (with a specific anti-codon) for a particular amino acid; and 'wobble' base-pairing, i.e. permitting non-standard base-pairing at the 3rd anti-codon position.
Source: RNAcentral
GGGGAUGUAGCUCAGUUGGGAGAGCGCUGCGUUCGCAUCGCAGAGGUCAAGGGUUCGAGUCCCUCCAUCUCCACCA